GAUGAACGCUAGCUACAGGCUUAACACAUGCAAGUCGCGGGGCAUCAUGGAGGUUGCUUGCAAUUUCUGAUGGCGACCGGCGCACGGGUGAGUAACGCGUAUCCAACCUUCCCAUUACUACGGCAUACCCCGUUGAAAGGCGGCCUAAUUCCGUAUGCAGUCCGGAGCAGUCAUCUAAUUUGGACGAAAGGUAUAUUCUAUCGGUAAUGGAUGGGGAUGCGUCCGAUUAGCCAGCCGGCGGGGUAACGGCCCACCGGGGCAUUGAUCGGUAGGGGUUCUGAGAGGAAGGUCCCCCACACUGGAACUGAGACACGGUCCAGACUCCUACGGGAGGCAGCAGUGAGGAAUAUUGGUCAAUGGGCGUAAGCCUGAACCAGCCAAGUAGCGUGCAGGAUGACGGCCCUAUGGGUUGUAAACUGCUUUUAUGCGGGGAUAAAGUUGGGGACGUGUCCCUUUUUG
Molecule: ribosomal RNA, 459 nt
Filed under: Hoylesella oralis
Lineage: Bacteria; Pseudomonadati; Bacteroidota; Bacteroidia; Bacteroidales; Prevotellaceae
Description: bacterial SSU rRNA
Rfam family: Bacterial small subunit ribosomal RNA
Source: RNAcentral